AUGCAUUUUUUGGUAACUUUGAAUGCAACAAAAAAUUUGGACCGGACUGUUGUGUCGUUGAGACGGGCCUCCGAAUUGCACUCCUCCAAGCCCGUUACCAUUCUUUUUCUUGAGCCUUUUGCCUUAACAAAAAUUUGCUUGUUGAACUAUUGUUUUAGGCUCAAUCUUGAUGGGCCUCAACGCCCAGAUUGCUACACUACACGCCAUGUUUCCAUCUUACACCUCUCCAACCUUAUUAAAUUUUAUUUUCUUGAUUUUUGUAAUUUUUUCACAUUUUUCUUUACUUAA
Vicia faba (fava bean) is the source of this 288-nucleotide non-coding RNA. Lineage: Eukaryota; Viridiplantae; Streptophyta; Magnoliopsida; Fabales; Fabaceae. The record is from the annotation of a GenBank genome assembly.